Non-coding RNA from Vicia faba (fava bean), 411 nucleotides. Lineage: Eukaryota; Viridiplantae; Streptophyta; Magnoliopsida; Fabales; Fabaceae. The record is from the annotation of a GenBank genome assembly.
AUGGGUUUUGUCGUGGCUUUGAGUUUAUUAACCCCGGUGCGAAACGAGGUGGAAAAUUUUAAUGGGUUGCCGUCUUAUCGAUCACGCAAUUCAUCAUUGCCUCAUCUCUCAAUCAGGAAGAUAUCAUGGGUUGUGAGGACAGAGUCAAAUGUCCGGAGGAAAAUACGAAAGAAGCCGGAUCCACCUUGUGUGGUAUGUGAGGGGAGUGGAAGAGUGGAUUGCCAUUGUUGUGAAGGAAGAGGAAGGACGAAUCAGGUUCAUUUGGAAGUACUUCCGAAAGGUGAAUGGCCGAGUUGGUGUAAGACCUGUGGCGGAAGUGGGCUUACGGAUUGCUCUCGGUGCGUUGGAAGUGGAGAGUAUAGGGGUGUUAUUGGGUUUCAUUUCAUGAAGAAGGAGAAUAAUGGAUCCUGA